RNAcentral lists this ribosomal RNA (2803 nucleotides) under Cupriavidus taiwanensis. RNAcentral describes it as "bacterial LSU rRNA". The stretch from base 412 to 2803 matches the Rfam family "Bacterial large subunit ribosomal RNA". Lineage: Bacteria; Pseudomonadati; Pseudomonadota; Betaproteobacteria; Burkholderiales; Burkholderiaceae. The record is from RNAcentral.
GAAAGCGAGUCCGAACAGGGCGUUGAGUCGCUGGGUGUAGACCCGAAACCAGAUGAUCUAUCCAUGGCCAGGUUGAAGGUGCGGUAACACGUACUGGAGGACCGAACCCACUAACGUUGAAAAGUUAGGGGAUGAGCUGUGGAUAGGGGUGAAAGGCUAAACAAAUCUGGAAAUAGCUGGUUCUCUCCGAAAACUAUUUAGGUAGUGCCUCGUGUCUCACCUUCGGGGGUAGAGCACUGUCAUGGUUGGGGGGUCUAUUGCUGAUUACCCCGCCAUAGCAAACUCCGAAUACCGAAGAGUGCAAUCACGGGAGACAGACAUCGGGUGCUAACGUCCGGUGUCAAGAGGGAAACAACCCAGACCGCCAGCUAAGGUCCCCAAAUAUAGCUAAGUGGGAAACGAAGUGGGAAGGCUAAAACAGUCAGGAGGUUGGCUUAGAAGCAGCCACCCUUUAAAGAAAGCGUAAUAGCUCACUGAUCGAGUCGUCCUGCGCGGAAGAUGUAACGGGGCUAAGCUAUAUACCGAAGCUGCGGACGCNGAAGGCGUAGCGAAAGCGAGUCCGAACAGGGCGUUGAGUCGCUGGGUGUAGACCCGAAACCAGAUGAUCUAUCCAUGGCCAGGUUGAAGGUGCGGUAACACGUACUGGAGGACCGAACCCACUAACGUUGAAAAGUUAGGGGAUGAGCUGUGGAUAGGGGUGAAAGGCUAAACAAAUCUGGAAAUAGCUGGUUCUCUCCGAAAACUAUUUAGGUAGUGCCUCGUGUCUCACCUUCGGGGGUAGAGCACUGUCAUGGUUGGGGGGUCUAUUGCUGAUUACCCCGCCAUAGCAAACUCCGAAUACCGAAGAGUGCAAUCACGGGAGACAGACAUCGGGUGCUAACGUCCGGUGUCAAGAGGGAAACAACCCAGACCGCCAGCUAAGGUCCCCAAAUAUAGCUAAGUGGGAAACGAAGUGGGAAGGCUAAAACAGUCAGGAGGUUGGCUUAGAAGCAGCCACCCUUUAAAGAAAGCGUAAUAGCUCACUGAUCGAGUCGUCCUGCGCGGAAGAUGUAACGGGGCUAAGCUAUAUACCGAAGCUGCGGACGCACGCAAGUGCGUGGUAGGAGAGCGUUCUGUAAGCCUGUGAAGGUGUCUUGUAAAGGAUGCUGGAGGUAUCAGAAGUGCGAAUGCUGACAUGAGUAGCGAUAAAGGGGGUGAAAGGCCCCCUCGCCGUAAGCCCAAGGUUUCCUACGCAACGUUCAUCGGCGUAGGGUGAGUCGGCCCCUAAGGCGAGGCAGAGAUGCGUAGCUGAUGGGAAGCAGGUUAAUAUUCCUGCACCGUCGUAUGAUGCGAUGGGGGGACGGAUCGCGGAAGGUUGUCCGGGUGUUGGAAGUCCCGGUCCCUGUAGUGGAGAAGGCGCUUAGGCAAAUCCGGGCGCGGAAUUCAAGGCUAUGGGGCGAGCGGCCUAGUGCUGCGAAGCAAUUGGAAGUGGUUCCAAGAAAAGCCUCUAAGCUUCAGUCAUACGAGACCGUACCGCAAACCGACACAGGUGGGCGAGAUGAGUAUUCUAAGGCGCUUGAGAGAACUCGGGAGAAGGAACUCGGCAAAUUGGUACCGUAACUUCGGGAUAAGGUACGCCCUGGUAGCUUGACUGGCCUGCGCCAGAAGGGUGAAGGGGUUGCAAUAAAAUGGUGGCUGCGACUGUUUAAUAAAAACACAGCACUCUGCAAACACGAAAGUGGACGUAUAGGGUGUGACGCCUGCCCGGUGCCGGAAGAUUAAAUGAUGGGGUGCAAGCUCUUGAUUGAAGUCCCGGUAAACGGCGGCCGUAACUAUAACGGUCCUAAGGUAGCGAAAUUCCUUGUCGGGUAAGUUCCGACCUGCACGAAUGGCGUAACGAUGGCCACACUGUCUCCUCCCGAGACUCAGCGAAGUUGAAGUGUUUGUGAUGAUGCAAUCUCCCCGCGGCUAGACGGAAAGACCCCAUGAACCUUUACUGUAGCUUUGCAUUGGACUUUGAACCGAUCUGUGUAGGAUAGGUGGGAGGCUUUGAAGCGUGGACGCUAGUUCACGUGGAGCCGUCCUUGAAAUACCACCCUGGUUUGUUUGAGGUUCUAACCUUGGCCCGUGAAUCCGGGUCGGGGACAGUGCAUGGUAGGCAGUUUGACUGGGGCGGUCUCCUCCCAAAGUGUAACGGAGGAGUUCGAAGGUACGCUUGGUACGGUCGGACAUCGUACCUAAAGUGCAAUGGCAAAAGCGUGCUUAACUGCGAGACCGACAAGUCGAGCAGGUGCGAAAGCAGGACAUAGUGAUCCGGUGGUUCUGAAUGGAAGGGCCAUCGCUCAACGGAUAAAAGGUACUCUGGGGAUAACAGGCUGAUACCGCCCAAGAGUUCAUAUCGACGGCGGUGUUUGGCACCUCGAUGUCGGCUCAUCUCAUCCUGGGGCUGUAGCCGGUCCCAAGGGUAUGGCUGUUCGCCAUUUAAAGAGGUACGUGAGCUGGGUUUAAAACGUCGUGAGACAGUUUGGUCCCUAUCUGCCGUGGGCGUUGGAAUCUUGACGGGGGCUGCUCCUAGUACGAGAGGACCGGAGUGGACGUACCGCUGGUGUACCUGUUGUCUCGCCAGAGGCAUCGCAGGGUAGCUAUGUACGGAAGAGAUAACCGCUGAAAGCAUCUAAGCGGGAAACUCGCCUGAAGAUGAGGAUUCCCUGGAGGCUUGACCUCCUUGAAGGGUCGUUCGAGACCAGGACGUUGAUAGGCUGGGUGUGGAAGCGCAGUAAUGCGUUAAGCUAACCAGUACUAAUUGCCCGUAAGGCUUGAUCCU